CUGGGGCGGUCUCCUCCUAAAGAGUAACGGAGGAGCACGAAGGUUGGCUAAUCCUGGUCGGACAUCAGGAGGUUAGUGCAAUGGCAUAAGCCAGCUUGACUGCGAGCGUGACGGCGCGAGCAGGUGCGAAAGCAGGUCAUAGUGAUCCGGUGGUUCUGAAUGGAAGGGCCAUCGCUCAACGGAUAAAAGGUACUCCGGGGAUAACAGGCUGAUACCGCCCAAGAGUUCAUAUCGACGGCGGUGUUUGGCACCUCGAUGUCGGCUCAUCACAUCCUGGGGCUGAAGUAGGUCCCAAGGGUAUGGCUGUUCGCCAUUUAAAGUGGUACGCGAGCUGGGUUUAGAACGUCGUGAGACAGUUCGGUCCCUAUCUGCCGUGGGCGCUGGAGAACUGAGGGGGGCUGCUCCUAGUACGAGAGGACCGGAGUGGACGCAUCACUGGUGUUCGGGUUGUCAUGCCAAUGGCACUGCCCGGUAGCUAAAUGCGGAAGAGAUAAGUGCUGAAAGCAUCUAAGCACGAAACUUGCCCCGAGAUGAGUUCUCCCUGAGACUUAGAGUCUCCUGAAGGAACGUUGAAGACGACGACGUUGAUAGGCCGGGUGUGUAAGCGCAGCGAUGCGUUGAGCUAACCGGUACUAAUGAACCGUGAGGCUUAACCUUACA
This 660-nucleotide ribosomal RNA is filed under the name Salmonella enterica. RNAcentral describes it as "partial 23S ribosomal RNA". It matches the Rfam family "Bacterial large subunit ribosomal RNA", at positions 2274 to 2925 of the family's 2925-position model. Lineage: Bacteria; Pseudomonadati; Pseudomonadota; Gammaproteobacteria; Enterobacterales; Enterobacteriaceae. The record is from RNAcentral.